GUGUCAGCAGCCGCGGUAAUACAGAGGUCCCAAGCGUUACUGAGAAUCACUGGGUUUAAAGGGUGCGUAGGUGGUCCGUUAAGUUCGUUGUGAAAUCCCUGGGCUCAACCCAGGAACUGCUUCGAAUACUGGCGGACUUGAGGCCAGUAGGGGUCACUAGAACUGACGGUGGAGCGGUGAAAUGCGUAGAUAUCGUCAGGAAUGCCGGUGGUGAAGACGGGUGACUGGGCUGGUUCUGACACUGAGGCACGAAAGCGUGGGGAGCGAACGGGAUUAGAUACCCGUGUAGUCC
RNAcentral lists this ribosomal RNA (292 nucleotides) under uncultured bacterium. RNAcentral describes it as "partial 16S ribosomal RNA". It matches the Rfam family "Bacterial small subunit ribosomal RNA", at positions 505 to 796 of the family's 1533-position model. The record is from RNAcentral.